AAGUUGUCAUCUCCUUGGCUCUGAUCAACGAAUGUUCCUCCUGCCCAUUUCUCAGAUUUAUUGUAUGGUGUUACCCAGACGUUGUACUUUGCGAAACCAGCACGAAUGCUUGGGUAAUCAUCAUUUGACAAUAGAUUAUGUACAAAUGACCCAGGAAGCAAACGGUAUCCCACGUAGUUCCCCAUCUUAGUUUUCUUGUUAGGAUUCACUACUAACAGCUCUGCUGCACCUGAGCCCAGAUUAAUCCUUGCAUCAGACUCAGUUUUAGCAGUUUCACUAACUGCUGUCCAGUAACUCCUCCUAGGAGACUUCUUGUCCAUCACACGUCUUGUUUGCAACUUUGUCUUGAUAAACGAAUUAUCAUAACCAUCCACAUCUAGGUCAAGAUGGAAAUUCAGGAAAUGAUCGUGAUAAGUUCCAACAGUAUUUUGUGAUACUAAUGUGCCAUAAACUUCGUCCCUUAUCUGGUCCUUGUGGAUGUAUGUUGAUGCUUUUAUCUCCAGCAAUCCUGACAAUCCAAUCUGUCCAGAUAAAGCAUUGGAUCAGAACAUAUAAAAGAAUUCCUGCAAACUGCUUGGUGCUUCAAGAGUGAUCUUUUAGCACAUUUCUGGUAGCUAGAUUCAGAACUACUUUGUACCAAAAGAGAAAAGGUAAAAGGAUUUCUGACUAACGUUGGAAUACUGUAAUUUAAUAUCAAAUGUGCUCUUUCUAACUCUCAUGACUUACAUUGACUUUAAUUGAGCCAGCUUGCCUGAAUUCCCAGUCAACAAUGUAGUCAUAGUUGCCUAUAAUUGACACCAUUCUCACCACCAAGCUCACAUCAGGUCUAACCUCUGUAUACUGCAGAAUGAUCCCAUUUUCAGUCAAUUAUGCAAGUCUUUAGCAAGGAUAGUAGAGCACAUGUAGCUUUCUGAAUUGGAGAGAACAUUCACAUCAGAGAAUCUGCUUACCACUUUGCCUGGAAUGGCAGUUUCAGUAUGGCGCCAUAGUACAUCUCCACCAUAACGUUCAAAAACACAGAUUACGUUAUGAAUUUUUGUGGGAGUUCCAUUCUGUGAAAUGUAGUAGCCAUCAAGGAAUGCUGCAUUUUCAGGACAGUCUUUGGAUGGAAAAAGUGAUGUUGCACAUAGACCAAACCCAAAUUCACCGGCAUCAAAAUAUGUCCUAUAGUACCAUUCUUCAGUAAUGUCCAUAUAUGGCACAAAGAGCUCUGAGACGAACCCUCUAUACAGCACAUCACGAUAUGCAUCUUUAUCAUGGUCACGUACUGAAGCCAGUGAUAUAAUUGGACCUACUCGCAUGUCAAAAGCUAGAUGGAAUUUCCAGUCGGCCCAUCUAGCAUGAGAUGAAAUGUUAUUUGUCAGAGCAUAGAUAUUGUGGAAUCUAUAUGUUUGCGGAUCAUAACUAUCAAGUUCAAUGAGCAUGUAUGAGGAUUUGACCCAGUGCAACUAAUUGAAGGAAAUCUAUGAAUUUCACGGAAAUGAAUAUCAAAACUACAGCAAAUCCCUAGGAUUUUUCACUCAAAAUCAACAAGAAAUCACCUGCAGAUCAUGUUAUGCAGACCUUCCUUUAAUUUCUCUUUCUGCAGGUUAAAAUGAUCUAUAAAAAGAGUUAUGGCUGACUACUAUUAUCAGUUUCUACCUGUCAGUGUGAAAAAUUUUAACUAUUUCUCGAUGUUAACAUUCUUAAUCCUAAACUUGCUGCUACUUUUUCAAGGAAUGGAACCAUACCUAACAAUAUGUCCAUCAAUGGUAAAACUUGGACCAUGUGGCUGCAACAUUGUUAUUGGUUUUAUAGGUGAACUAACAGGCUGCUUCUGCUUCACUUCUCUGUAAUCUGUCCCAUCAGCUUUUGGUACUGGAACAAUCGCUCUAUCCUGAUACCCCGUAAUCUUCAUUUGAUCAAGAUCAACAGUGACUGUAAUACCCUCUAUAGGUCUCAUGUACAGAUUAAUUGUGCCAUCCAAAUAAUAACACGUAACUCUGAUAAUUCUUUUAGUCUUUUUAUCUCCAAACCAUCCAAUUGUGUAACUUUGGCAUACAACCUCUUCUUUCUUGAGCCCUCUCUUCUCAAUUGAUUUUAUAAAUGGUGAAUAACUAAAUGGUAAUUUGUUGGCAGCAGUUUGCUCAUCGAGAGUCAGCAAAGGGUAGCCAUGCCCAUCAUGCACCUUGUUGGAGAUGAUUGCAGAAGCUGUCAAGUCAACAAUGAUUUCGUGGUUUUGUUGGUUAAUUCGUGCGAGAACAAAGGCUUGGCGACGUGGGACUUUUGCAUUGUCAUCUAUCCAUGCUAGGACAAUUGGUUUAUCUGGUUCAGCCAAGCCGACAUAAUGGUAGCUAAGAUUGUGGCAGCUGGUUGAGCAAAUUGUGC
This 2367-nucleotide long non-coding RNA is filed under the name Coffea arabica (coffee). RNAcentral describes it as "long non-coding RNA (CARA_LNC002420)". Lineage: Eukaryota; Viridiplantae; Streptophyta; Magnoliopsida; Gentianales; Rubiaceae. The record is from RNAcentral.